GGGACCAUAGCUCAGUGGUAGAGCAGGGGACUCAUAAUCUCUUGGUCGCAGGUUCGAACCCUGCUGGUCCCA
RNAcentral lists this transfer RNA (72 nucleotides) under Candidatus Moraniibacteriota bacterium. Its description in RNAcentral is "tRNA-Ile". It matches the Rfam family "tRNA". From Rfam's summary of the family: Transfer RNA (tRNA) molecules are approximately 80 nucleotides in length. The record is from RNAcentral. Lineage: Bacteria; Candidatus Moraniibacteriota.